RNAcentral lists this transfer RNA (87 nucleotides) under Chromohalobacter sp. Its description in RNAcentral is "tRNA-Leu". It matches the Rfam family "tRNA". From Rfam's summary of the family: Transfer RNA (tRNA) molecules are approximately 80 nucleotides in length. Their secondary structure includes four short double-helical elements and three loops (D, anti-codon, and T loops). The record is from RNAcentral. RNAcentral also lists the same sequence under 6 other names. Lineage: Bacteria; Pseudomonadati; Pseudomonadota; Gammaproteobacteria; Oceanospirillales; Halomonadaceae.
GCCGAAGUGGUGGAAUUGGUAGACACGCUAUCUUGAGGGGGUAGUGACCUCAUGGUCGUGCGGGUUCAAGUCCCGCCUUCGGCACCA